AUAUAUGGAGGAACACCAGUGGCGAAGGCGGCUCUCUGGUCUGUAACUGACGCUGAGGCUCGAAAGCGUGGGGAGCGAACAGGAUUAGAUACCCUGGUAGUCCACGCCGUAAACGAUGAGUGCUAAGUGUUGGAGGGUUUCCGCCCUUCAGUGCUGCAGCAAACGCAUUAAGCACUCCGCCUGGGGAGUACGACCGCAAGGUUGAAACUCAAAGGAAUUGACGGGGGCCCGCACAAGCGGUGGAGCAUGUGGUUUAAUUCGAAGCAACGCGAAGAACCUUACCAGGUCUUGACAUCCUUUGACCACUCUAGAGAUAGAGCUUCCCCUUCGGGGGCAAAGUGACAGGUGGUGCAUGGUUGUCGUCAGCUCGUGUCGUGAGAUGUUGGGUUAAGUCCCGCAACGAGCGCAACCCUUAUUGUUAGUUGCCAUCAUUUAGUUGGGCACCCUAGCGAGACUGCCGGUGACAAACCGGAGGAAGGUGGGGAUGACGUCAAAUCAUCAUGCCCCUUAUGACCUGGGCUACACACGUGCUACAAUGGGAAGUACAACGAGUUGCGAAGUCGCGAGGCUAAGCUAAUCUCUUAAAGCUUCUCUCAGUUCGGAUUGUAGGCUGCAACUCGCCUACAUGAAGCCGGAAUCGCUAGUAAUCGCGGAUCAGCACGCCGCGGUGAAUACGUUCCCGGGCCUUGCACACAC
Molecule: ribosomal RNA, 696 nt
Filed under: uncultured bacterium
Lineage: Bacteria
Description: bacterial SSU rRNA
Rfam family: Bacterial small subunit ribosomal RNA
Source: RNAcentral